ACGUACAACGGACGUUGAGGGCGUGCGAGGGCUGUCGCUGACUUUUUGUCGACGCAAAAGUUGUGCACGCCGGAGCGCGUCCUCUCGCAUAAAAUCCAUCUCACCCUUUUGUGCACCACCGCGUGGGCACCUUUUGGGAUCGAACCGAUCCUGGAGGGGGCUUGCGUUUUCACACAAACCCCUUUUAAAAAGUGUAGAAUGACCCCAUUUUGCGAUGACACGCAAUCAAUACAACUUUCAACAACGGAUCUCUUGGCUCUCGCAUCGAUGAAGAACGCAGCGAAAUGCGAUACGUAAUGUGAAUUGCAGAAUUCAGUGAAUCAUCGAAUCUAUGAACGCACCUUGCGCCCUUGGUAUUCCGAGGGGCACACCCGUUUGAGUGUCGUGAAAUUCUCAACCUUCUCGGUUUUCUUCUGGACACCGAAGGAGGCUUGGACAUUGGAGGCCUUUGCUGGCGUCUCUUAGACCCAGCUCCUCUUAUAUGAAUUAGCGGGGUCCUCUUUGCCGAUCCUUGACAUGUGAUAAGAUGUAUCCAUGACGCGGGGUCCUCUUUGCCGAUCCUUGACAUGUGAUAAGAUGUUUCCAUGACUUGGUUUCUGUUGGUUUCUGGCUCUGUUGCAUUUGGGACCCRCUUCUAACCGUCUCGACGAGACAACGUUUGGGCGUGUCUCUCUUCUCGCGAGACUCUCUCAACCCCCACGAACCCU
This 707-nucleotide ribosomal RNA is filed under the name Lactarius deliciosus. Its description in RNAcentral is "eukaryotic LSU rRNA". The stretch from base 233 to 385 matches the Rfam family "5.8S ribosomal RNA". The record is from RNAcentral. Lineage: Eukaryota; Fungi; Basidiomycota; Agaricomycetes; Russulales; Russulaceae.